CCUGGUUGAUCCUGACAGUAGUCAUAUGCUUGUCCCAAAGAUUAAGCCAUGCAUGUCUCAGUGCAUGCCGAAUUAAGGUGAAACCGCGAAUGGCUCAUUAAAUCAGUUAUGGUUCCUUAGAUCGUACCCACAUUUACUUGGCUAAUUCUGGUAAUUCUAGAGCUAAUACAUGCAAACCAGAGUUCCGACCAGAGAUGGAAGGAACGCUUUUAUUAGUUCAAAACCAAUCGGUGGCGGGUUCGCUCGUCCAUCGUUUACAUUGGUGACUCUGAAUAACUUUGUGCUGAUCGCACGGUCUUGCACCGGAGACGCAUCUUUCAAAUGUCUGCCUAAUCAACUGUCGAUGGUAGGUUCUGCGCCUACCAUGGUUGUAACGGGUAACGGGGAAUCAGGGUUCGAUUCCGGAGAGGGAGCCUGAGAAACGGCUACCACAUCCAAGGAAGGCAGCAGGCGCGCAAAUUACCCACUUCCGGCACGGGGAGGUAGUGACGAAAAAUAACGAUACGGGACUCAUCCGAGGCCCCAUAAUCGGAAUGAGUACACUUUAAAUCCUUGAACGAGGAUCCAUUGGAGGGCAAGUCUGGUGCCAGCAGCCGCGGUAAUUCCAGCUCCAAUAGCGUAUAUUAAAGUUGUUGCGGUUAAAAAGCUCGUAGUUGAAUCUGUGUGCCACGCUGUCGGUUCAUCGCUCGCGAUGUUUAACUGACAUGAUUGUGGGACGUCCUACCGGUAGACUUAGCCCCUUCGUGGGCGGUCCAGCUAAUAUCCCAUCGCGGUGUUCUUCAUCGAGUGUCGAGGUGGGCCGGUACGUUUACUUUGAACAAAUUAGAGUGCUCAAAGCAGGCUAUGUUCGCCUGAAUACUGGGUGCGUGGAAUAAUGGAAUAGGACCUCGGUUCUAUUUUGUUGGUUUUCGGAAUCCCGAGGUAAUGAUUAAUAGGGACAGAUGGGGGCAUUCGUAUUGCGACGUUAGAGGUGAAAUUCUUGGAUCGUCGCAAGACGGACAGAAGCGAAAGCAUUUGCCAAAAAUGUUUUCAUUAAUCAAGAACGAAAGUUAGAGGUUCGAAGGCGAUCAGAUACCGCCCUA
RNAcentral lists this ribosomal RNA (1082 nucleotides) under Megastigmus dorsalis. RNAcentral describes it as "SSU rRNA". It matches the Rfam family "Eukaryotic small subunit ribosomal RNA", at positions 3 to 1022 of the family's 1831-position model. Lineage: Eukaryota; Metazoa; Arthropoda; Insecta; Hymenoptera; Megastigmidae. The record is from RNAcentral.